AGGGCCUACGGGGGGCAGCAGUGAGGAAUAUUGGUCAAUGGGCGGAAGCCUGAACCAGCCAAGUCGCGUGAGGGAAUAAGGCCCUACGGGUCGUAAACCUCUUUUGCUGGGGAGCAAGGGCCGGGACGCGUCCCGGCCCGGAGAGUACCUGGAGAAAAAGCAUCGGCUAACUCCGUGCCAGCAGCCGCGGUAAUACGGAGGAUGCGAGCGUUAUCCGGAUUUAUUGGGUUUAAAGGGUGCGUAGGCGGGCUUUUA
This 255-nucleotide ribosomal RNA is filed under the name uncultured bacterium. Its description in RNAcentral is "partial 16S ribosomal RNA". It matches the Rfam family "Bacterial small subunit ribosomal RNA", at positions 334 to 585 of the family's 1533-position model. The record is from RNAcentral.